This 460-nucleotide ribosomal RNA is filed under the name uncultured bacterium. RNAcentral's name for it is "partial 16S ribosomal RNA". It matches the Rfam family "Bacterial small subunit ribosomal RNA", at positions 338 to 795 of the family's 1533-position model. The record is from RNAcentral.
CCUACGGGGGGCUGCAGUGGGGAAUAUUGGUCAAUGGACGAGAGUCUGAACCAGCCAAGUAGCGUGAAGGAUGACUGCCCUAUGGGUUUUAAACUUCUUUUAUAAAGGAAUAAAACGAGGCACGUGUGCCUUUUUGCAUGUACUUUAUGAAUAAGGAUCGGCUAACUACGUGCCAGCAGCCGCGGUAAUACGGAGGCUCCGAGCGUUAUCCGGAUUUAGUGGGUUUAAAGGGAGCGUAGGUGGGUUGUUAAGUCAGAUGUGAAAGUUUGCGGCUCAACCGUAAAAUUGCAAUUGAUACUGGGUGUCUUGAGUACAGGUGAGGCAGGCGGAAUUCGCGGUGUAGCGGUGAAAUGCGUAGAUAUUGCGAGGAACCCCAGUGGCGAAGGCAGCUUGCUAAACUGUGACUGACAUUGAUGCGCGAAAGCGUGGGGAGCAAACAGGAUUAGAUACCCUUGUAGUC